GAUAUUUUGAUGAUAGUGAUUAACCGCCGUGUCUUCCCAUUGCUUUAAUUCUCUAAUUAUGUUUAUGGAUCAAUGGUAAAAAUGGUAUGUACUAAAAUCAGGGCGAUGUCGUACUGAUCCAGCAUUAUUACGGGAGCAUUAGCCAUGACUACUUUGUUAUGGAUAUUGUGGUUUUUCACAAUCAACCAAAUAACGUCUUCCGAACGGAGUUUUCGCGUAAAACUCACCGAGUUCUCAGUCAAAUAUAAGGACACGAGCGUUGUUAGGAACGCGGGCUUUCGAAUUACUGAAUUGAAUAAUCGGAGUUAUGUGAACGGAGAGCUGUCAUUCAAGAGUGACGUUCCCGAAAUUGACAUGCGAACCACCAUGGACUUUUGGAAGCAUAAUAAUACCAAAAGAAAAUUUAAGUUAUAUGAUGUUCGGGUAGACGCUUGUCUUUUUCUCAGAACAGUUCAUCGCAAUAGUUUAUUUAACAUUUACGUAAAAAGCUUUAAAAAACACACAAACGCCAAUCUGGUUUGUCCUCUGAAGAAGAAUUUCAACUACACUCUGAACAAUUGGUUUAUGGAAGAAAAUGAUUUACCGGUCUUUAUUCCACUCGGUACAUUUCGGACCAUAUCCGAGUACUUUCUUCUAAAACGAAAGCUGGGCUUACGGAUUGAAACCUAUGGCCAAAUAUAUCCCUAUCCUUAGAUUAAAAAUGGAAGAGUUUAGAAAAUUAAAAUAUUAUUGAAUAUCGAAACAUACAUACAUACUUGAUUGGAGGGAAAUUAGAAAGGUUAAUAUACGUCGAGGUAAUUCUAUAGUCAAUUCGAACCGUAUAAUUGUUUUCCAAUUGAUUUUUAAGUGAUUUUUAAGAGGAAAUAAAUAAUGAAUGUCUACCGAAAUGACUUAUUUGGCUCGGUUGAUAUUUGGGUAGAACAUUUAAACUUGAGUUUCAGCCAUGAAGACUUGGUUCUGGAUCGGUGCGAUUGUUUAUCUCGAUUCCUUGAGCUACGCCCAUCGCAAUUUUGGAAUAAUUAUCGAUGAGGUUAGCGUCAAAGUGUUUAAUACGGUUCUACUGAAACAGUUCGAUUGCCAGACUUAUGCAAUAAAUAACCGGAGCUACGUUGAUUGUCAAAUACUUUUGAAUAGAACAAUCGAAAAAUUUAACGUUCGUAUCUCUUUGGAUUUUUCGAAAUCGAACGGGCCAGAUAUGAAACUAUACGAUGUCCACUUGGAGGCAUGCUCCUUUGUUACAACUCUGCACCAAACGAAGGUUUUAAAUACUUUUUCAAAAUACAUAAAGGAAUAUUCAAAUUUGGAGUGUCCGUUGAAAGCGAAUUUUCCUUACAAACUGGAGAAAUAUAACUUAAACGAACAAGAUUUCCCAUCAUUUGUUCCCAUUGGGUCAUUUCGCUCCCUAAUCCAAUUCUAUGUAAACCAAAGCGAUGUAGCAGCCAGAGUCAAGAGUCGUGGCAGAGUAGUUCCGCGGCAUUAAGAUCUGCUAUCUUCGGGGUUUUUAAAUAAAUCGUGUAAAUGUUUAGCCUGAGUAAUUACUUAAUUGCUUCAUCAGACAAUUUAACAGAUAUCAGAAUUCGAUUCAUUUUCGAUUAGUUUAUUUUUGUUUUCUAAAUAUAUCGUUGAUGUCU
This is an RNA transcript of Drosophila ananassae, 1631 nucleotides long. RefSeq lists it as uncharacterized. The transcript has 3 exons. The record is from RefSeq and is a predicted model, not a curated record. Lineage: Eukaryota; Metazoa; Arthropoda; Insecta; Diptera; Drosophilidae.